UGCCUGUGAGACUGGGAUAACUUCGGGAAACCGGAGCUAAUACCGGAUAAUAUAAGGAACCUCCUGGUUCUUUAUUGAAAGAUGGUUUCGGCUAUCACUCACAGAUGGGCCCGCGGCGCAUUAGCUAGUUGGUGAGGUAACGGCUCACCAAGGCGACGAUGCGUAGCCGACCUGAGAGGGUGAUCGGCCACACUGGGACUGAGACACGGCCCAGACUCCUACGGGAGGCAGCAGUAGGGAAUCUUCCACAAUGGACGAAAGUCUGAUGGAGCAACGCCGCGUGAGCGAUGAAGGCCUUCGGGUCGUAAAGCUCUGUUGUUAGGGAAGAACAAGUGCGAGAGUAACUGCUCGCACCUUGACGGUACCUAACCAGAAAGCCACGGCUAACUACGUGCCAGCAGCCGCGGUAAUACGUAGGUGGCAAGCGUUGUCCGGAAUUAUUGGGCGUAAAGCGCGCGCAGGUGGUCCUUUAAGUUUGAUGUGAAAGCCCACGGCUCAACCGUGGAGGGUCAUUGGAAACUGGGGGACUUGAGUGCAGAAGAGGAAAGUGGAAUUCCAAGUGUAGCGGUGAAAUGCGUAGAGAUUUGGAGGAACACCAGUGGCGAAGGGCGACUUUCUGGUCUGUAACUGACACUGAGGCGCGAAAGCGUGGGGAGCAAACAGGAUUAGAUACCCUG
Molecule: ribosomal RNA, 677 nt
Filed under: Sutcliffiella horikoshii
Lineage: Bacteria; Bacillati; Bacillota; Bacilli; Caryophanales; Bacillaceae
Description: bacterial SSU rRNA
Rfam family: Bacterial small subunit ribosomal RNA
Source: RNAcentral